RNAcentral lists this ribosomal RNA (468 nucleotides) under uncultured bacterium. RNAcentral's name for it is "partial 16S ribosomal RNA". It matches the Rfam family "Bacterial small subunit ribosomal RNA", at positions 28 to 507 of the family's 1533-position model. The record is from RNAcentral.
GACGAACGCUGGCGGCGUGCUUAACACAUGCAAGUCGAACGGAAAGGCCCUGCUUUUGUGGGGUGCUCGAGUGGCGAACGGGGGAGUAACACGUGAGUAACCUGCCCUUGACUUUGGGAUAACUUCAGGAAACUCGGGCUAAAACCGCAUAGGAGCUCCUGCUGCAUGGGGGGGGUUGGAAAGUUUCGGCCGUUGUGGCUGGACUCGCGGCUUAUCGGCUUGUUGGUGAGGUAGUGGCUUACCAAGGCUUUGACGGGUAGCCGGCCUGAGAGGGUGACCGGCCACAUUGGGACUGAGGUACGGCGCAGUCGCCAACGGUAGGCAGCGGUCGGGAAUAUUGCGCAAUGGGCCGACGCGUGUUGCGGCAACCCCGCGUGCGUGAUGACGUCCUUCGGGUUGUAAACCGCUUUCGCCUGUGACGAAGCGGGAGUGACGGUAAUGGGUAAAGAAGCACCGGCUAACUACGUG